CUCUCGGCAACGGAUAUCUCGGCUCUUGCAUCGAUGAAGAACGUAGCGAAAUGCGAUACCUGGUGUGAAUUGCAGAAUCCCGUGAACCAUCGAGUCUUUGAACGCAAGUUGCGCCCGAGGCCAUCCGGCCAAGGGCACGCCUGCCUGGGCGUCAC
This 155-nucleotide ribosomal RNA is filed under the name Ensete ventricosum. Its description in RNAcentral is "5.8S ribosomal RNA". It matches the Rfam family "5.8S ribosomal RNA". Rfam says of the family: 5.8S ribosomal RNA (5.8S rRNA) is a component of the large subunit of the eukaryotic ribosome. It is transcribed by RNA polymerase I as part of the 45S precursor that also contains 18S and 28S rRNA. Functionally, it is thought that 5.8S rRNA may be involved in ribosome translocation. Lineage: Eukaryota; Viridiplantae; Streptophyta; Magnoliopsida; Zingiberales; Musaceae. The record is from RNAcentral. RNAcentral also lists the same sequence under 2 other names.